RNAcentral lists this transfer RNA (72 nucleotides) under Candidatus Bipolaricaulota bacterium. RNAcentral's name for it is "tRNA-Gly". It matches the Rfam family "tRNA". From Rfam's summary of the family: Transfer RNA (tRNA) molecules are approximately 80 nucleotides in length. Their secondary structure includes four short double-helical elements and three loops (D, anti-codon, and T loops). Further hydrogen bonds mediate the characteristic L-shaped molecular structure. tRNAs have two regions of fundamental functional importance: the anti-codon, which is responsible for specific mRNA codon recognition, and the 3' end, to which the tRNAs corresponding amino acid is attached (by aminoacyl-tRNA synthetases). tRNAs cope with the degeneracy of the genetic code in two manners: having more than one tRNA (with a specific anti-codon) for a particular amino acid; and 'wobble' base-pairing, i.e. permitting non-standard base-pairing at the 3rd anti-codon position. RNAcentral also lists the same sequence under 1 other name. Lineage: Bacteria; Candidatus Bipolaricaulota. The record is from RNAcentral.
GCGGGCAUAGCUCAGUGGUAGAGCAUCAGCUUCCCAAGCUGGGGGUCGCGGGUUCGAAUCCCGCUGCCCGCU